GACGAACGCUGGCGGCGUGCCUAAUACAUGCAAGUAGGACGCAGUUGCGAACGGGUGAGUAACGCGUAUGUAACUGCCUAUUAGAGGGGGAUAACUAUUGGAAACGAUAGCUAAUACCGCAUACUAGUAGAUGGACCUGCGUUGUAUUAGCUAGUAGGUAGGGUACUGGCCUACCUAGGCGACGAUACAUAGCCGACCUGAGAGGGUGAACGGCCGCACUGGUACUGGAACACGGCCCAGACUCCUACGGGAGGAAGCAGAAGGGAAUCUUCGGCAAUGGGGGGAGCCCUGACCGGGCAACGCCGCGUGAGUGAAGAAGGGGUUCGGAUCGUAAAGCUCUGUUGUUAAGGAAGCGGUACUUAACCAGAAAGGGACGGCUAACUACGUGCCAGCCGCCGCGGUAAUAC
This 407-nucleotide ribosomal RNA is filed under the name uncultured bacterium. Its description in RNAcentral is "partial 16S ribosomal RNA". It matches the Rfam family "Bacterial small subunit ribosomal RNA", at positions 28 to 526 of the family's 1533-position model. The record is from RNAcentral.